AGAUUGAACGCUGGCGGCGUGCCUAACACAUGCAAGUCGAGCGGUAACAGGUGUAGCAAUACAUGCUGACGAGCGGCGAACGGGUGAGUAAUGCUUUGGAAUCUUCCCAGUAGUGGGGAAUAACCAGUCGAAAGAUUGGCUAAUACCGCAUACGUCUGUAAAGGGAAAGCGGGGGCUCGUAAGACCUCGCGCUAUUGGAUGAGCCAAAGUCGGAUUAGCUAGUUGGUGGGGUAAUGGCCUACCAAGACGACAAUCCGUAGCUGGUCUGAGAGGACGACCAGCCACACCGGAACUGAGACACGGUCCGGACUCCUACGGGAGGCAGCAGUGGGGAAUAUUGGACAAUGGGGGAAACCCUGAUCCAGCGACGCCGCGUGUGUGAAGAAGGCCUGCGGGUUGUAAAGCACUUUUAGUGGGGACAAAAGCUACGGAUUAAUACUCUGUGGUCUUGAUUUAACCCAAAGAAAAGCACCGGCUAACUCUGUGCCAGCAGCCGC
This 497-nucleotide ribosomal RNA is filed under the name uncultured bacterium. RNAcentral describes it as "SSU rRNA". It matches the Rfam family "Bacterial small subunit ribosomal RNA", at positions 26 to 518 of the family's 1533-position model. The record is from RNAcentral.